UUAGAGUUUGAUCCUGGCUCAGGAUGAACGCUAGCGGCAGGCUUAACACAUGCAAGUCGAGGGGCAGCGAGAUCAGUGCUUGCACUGAUUGUCGGCGACCGGCGCACGGGUGCGUAACGCGUAUGCAACCUACCCAUUACAGGGGGAUAACACUGAGAAAUCGGUACUAAUACCCCAUAACAUCCAGGGAGGCAUCUUCUUGGGUUGAAAACUCCGGUGGUAAUGGAUGGGCAUGCGUUGUAUUAGUUAGUUGGUGGGGUAACGGCUCACCAAGACAACGAUACAUAGGGGGACUGAGAGGUUAACCCCCCACAUUGGUACUGAGACACGGACCAAACUCCUACGGGAGGCAGCAGUGAGGAAUAUUGGUCAAUGGACGCAAGUCUGAACCAGCCAUGCCGCGUGCAGGAAGACGGCUCUAUGAGUUGUAAACUGCUUUUGUACGAGGGUAAACGCAGAUACGCGUAUCUGUCUGAAAGUAUCGUACGAAUAAGGAUCGGCUAACUCCGUGCCAGCAGCCGCGGUAAUACGGAGGAUUCAAGCGUUAUCCGGAUUUAUUGGGUUUAAAGGGUGCGUAGGCGGUCGGAUAAGUUAGAGGUGAAAUCCCGGGGCUCAACUUCGGAAUUGCCUCUGAUACUGUUCGGCUAGAGAGUAGUUGCGGUAGGCGGAAUGUAUGGUGUAGCGGUGAAAUGCUUAGAGAUCAUACAGAACACCGAUUGCGAAGGCAGCUUACCAAGCUACUUCUGACGUUGAGGCACGAAAGCGUGGGGAGCAAACAGGAUUAGAUACCCUGGUAGUCCACGCAGUAAACGAUGAUAACUCGUUGUCGGCGAUACAGUGUCGGUGACUAAGCGAAAGCGAUAAGUUAUCCACCUGGGGAGUACGUUCGCAAGAAUGAAACUCAAAGGAAUUGACGGGGGCCCGCACAAGCGGAGGAACAUGUGGUUUAAUUCGAUGAUACGCGAGGAACCUUACCCGGGCUUGAAAGUUAGUGACGGAUCUUGAAAGAGGUCUUCCCCUCGGGGCACGAAACUAGGUGCUGCAUGGUUGUCGUCAGCUCGUGCCGUGAGGUGUCGGGUUGAGUCCCAUAACGAGCGCAACCCCUACCGUUAGUUGCCAGCAGGUCAAGCUGGGCACUCUGACGGGACUGCCGGUAUAAGCCGAGAGGAAGGUGGGGAUGACGUCAAAUCAGCACGGCCCUUACGUCCGGGGCUACACACGUGUUACAAUGGCAGGUACAGAGGGCAGCUACCCAGCGAUGGGAUGCGAAUCUCGAAAGCCUGUCUCAGUUCGGAUUGGAGGCUGAAACCCGCCUCCAUGAAGUUGGAUUCGCUAGUAAUCGCGCAUCAGCCAUGGCGCGGUGAAUACGUUCCCGGGCCUUGAACACACCGCCCGUCA
RNAcentral lists this ribosomal RNA (1398 nucleotides) under uncultured bacterium. Its description in RNAcentral is "16S ribosomal RNA". It matches the Rfam family "Bacterial small subunit ribosomal RNA". The record is from RNAcentral.